This 501-nucleotide ribosomal RNA is filed under the name uncultured bacterium. RNAcentral's name for it is "bacterial SSU rRNA". It matches the Rfam family "Bacterial small subunit ribosomal RNA", at positions 36 to 518 of the family's 1533-position model. The record is from RNAcentral.
CUGGCGGCGUGCCUAAUACAUGCAAGUCGAGCGGACCGACGGGAGCUGCUCCCUUAGGUCAGCGGCGGACGGGUGAGUAACACGUGGGUAACCUGCCUGUAAGACUGGGAUAACUCCGGGAAACCGGGGCUAAUACCGGAUGCUUGAUUGAACCGCAUGGUUCAAUCAUAAAAGGUGGCUUUUAGCUACCACUUGCAGAUGGACCCGCGGCGCAUUAGCUAGUUGGUGAGGUAACGGCUCACCAAGGCGACGAUGCGUAGCCGACCUGAGAGGGUGAUCGGCCACACUGGGACUGAGACACGGCCCAGACUCCUACGGGAGGCAGCAGUAGGGAAUCUUCCGCAAUGGACGAAAGUCUGACGGAGCAACGCCGCCGUGAGUGAUGAAGGUUUUCGGAUCGUAAAACUCUGUUGUUAGGGAAGAACAAGUGCCGUUCGAAUAGGGCGGUACCUUGACGGUACCUAACCAGAAAGCCACGGCUAACUACGUGCCAGCAGCGGC